Molecule: ribosomal RNA, 505 nt
Filed under: uncultured bacterium
Lineage: Bacteria
Description: partial 16S ribosomal RNA
Rfam family: Bacterial small subunit ribosomal RNA
Source: RNAcentral
GACGAACGCUGGCGGCGUGCCUAAUACAUGCAAGUAGAACGCACAGUUUAUACCGUAGCUUGCUACACCAUAGACUGUGAGUUGCGAACGGGUGAGUAACGCGUAGGUAACCUGCCUGGUAGCGGGGGAUAACUAUUGGAAACGAUAGCUAAUACCGCAUAAUAUUGAUUAUUGCAUGAUAAUUAAUUGAAAGGUGCAAUUGCACCACUACCAGAUGGACCUGCGUUGUAUUAGCUAGUAGGUGAGGUAACGGCUCACCUAGGCGACGAUACAUAGCCGACCUGAGAGGGUGAUCGGCCACACUGGGACUGAGACACGGCCCAGACUCCUACGGGAGGCAGCAGUAGGGAAUCUUCGGCAAUGGACGAAAGUCUGACCGAGCAACGCCGCGUGAGUGAAGAAGGUUUUCGGAUCGUAAAGCUCUGUUGUAAGAGAAGAACGGGUGCGAGAGUGGAAAGUUCACACUGUGACGGUAUCUGACCAGAAAGGGACGGCUAACUACGUG